GACGAACGCUGGCGGCGUGCCUAAUACAUGCAAGUUGAGCGCUGAAGGUUGGUACUUGUACCGACUGGAUGAGCAGCGAACGGGUGAGUAACGCGUGGGGAAUCUGCCUUUGAGCGGGGGACAACAUUUGGAAACGACUGCUAAUACCGCAUAAAAACUUUAAACACAAGUUUUAAGUUUGAAAGAUGCAAUUGCAUCACUCAAAGAUGAUCCCGCGUUGUAUUAGCUAGUUGGUGAGGUAAAGGCUCACCAAGGCGAAGAUACAUAGCCGACCUGAGAGGGUGGUCGGCCACAUUGGGACUGGGGCACGGCCCAAACUCCUACGGGAGGCAGCAGUAGGGAAUCUUCGGCAAUAGACGGAAGUCUGACCGAGCAACGCCGCGUGAGUGAAGAAGGUUUUCGGAUCGUAAAACUCUGUUGGUAGAGAAGAACGUUGGUGAGAGUGGAAAGCUCAUCAAGUGACGGUAACUACCCAGAAAGGGACGGCUAACUACGUG
This 497-nucleotide ribosomal RNA is filed under the name uncultured bacterium. Its description in RNAcentral is "partial 16S ribosomal RNA". It matches the Rfam family "Bacterial small subunit ribosomal RNA", at positions 28 to 507 of the family's 1533-position model. The record is from RNAcentral.